This 389-nucleotide ribosomal RNA is filed under the name uncultured bacterium. RNAcentral's name for it is "bacterial SSU rRNA". It matches the Rfam family "Bacterial small subunit ribosomal RNA", at positions 28 to 418 of the family's 1533-position model. The record is from RNAcentral.
GAUGAACGCUGGCGGCGUGCCUAACACAUGCAAGUCGAACGUGAGCUUUACUUCGGUAAAGUGAAAGUGGCGAACGGGUGAGUAACACGUUGGUGACCUGCCUUUAGCUCUGGGAUAAGCCUGGGAAACCGGGUCUAAUACCGGAUAUGACUCCAUGACGCAUGUUGUGGGGUGGAAAGCCUUGUGCGGCUAGGGAUGGGCCCGCGGCCUAUCAGCUUGUUGGUGGGGUGAUGGCCUACCAAGGCGACGACGGGUAGCCGGCCUGAGAGGGCGACCGGCCACACUGGGACUGAGAUACGGCCCAGACUCCUACGGGAGGCAGCAGUGGGGAAUCUUGCGCAAUGGGCGAAAGCCUGACGCAGCGACGCCGCGUGAGGGAGGAAGGCCUU